UACGAAGGGGGCUAGCGUUGCUCGGAAUCACUGGGCGUAAAGGGCGCGUAGGCGGAUCUUUAAGUCGGGGGUGAAAGCCUGAGGCUCAACCUCAGAAUUGCCUUCGAUACUGGAGAUCUUGAGACCGGAAGAGGUAAGUGGAACUGCGAGUGUAGAGGUGAAAUUCGUAGAUAUUCGCAAGAACACCAGUGGCGAAGGCGGCUUACUGGUCCGGUUCUGACGCUGAGGCGCGAAAGCAUGGGGAGCAAACAGG
RNAcentral lists this ribosomal RNA (253 nucleotides) under uncultured bacterium. Its description in RNAcentral is "partial 16S ribosomal RNA". It matches the Rfam family "Bacterial small subunit ribosomal RNA", at positions 524 to 776 of the family's 1533-position model. The record is from RNAcentral.